AUUAAGGAUGACGUCAUGAGCAUAGUUUUCUUAACGUUCGCGUCUAUCCGUCUACAUUCCCCUGACCUCCGCCCGUUGACAGGAUUCGAACCAAGCCCAGAAAUGUCUGACUUCUCAGAAGACCAGAUCAUUGAGUUCAAGGAGGCCUUCCUGCUGUUUGACAGGACGGGCGAUGGGAAGAUCAGCUACAGCCAGUGUGGUGAUGUCAUGCGGGCCCUCGGCCAGAACCCCGUCAACGCUGAGGUCCUCAAGGUCCUGGGCAACCCCAAGUCAGAAGAAAUGAACCACAAAAUGCUGGACUUUGAGCAGUUCCUGCCCAUGCUACAGGCCAUCGCUAAAAACAAGGACCAGGGCUCCUUUGAGGACUUUGUGGAGGGUCUGCGUGUCUUUGACAAGGAGGGCAACGGCACAGUGAUGGGCGCUGAGCUGCGCCACGUCCUCACAACGCUCGGUGAGAAAAUGACAGAAGAGGAGGUGGAGACUCUGUUAGCAGGACACGAAGAUGCCAACGGCUGCAUCAACUACGAAGUCUUUGUCCGCCACAUCAUGUCCGGCUGAGCGGCGAGUACGAGCAGACCCCCUAAAGCCCCCCCCCCCUCUGUUGUCUCCUACCCCAGCAAACUCGUCCGGAUGGUGAUGAGUGGUUGAAGAUUAAGAACACAUCCGGAUCAUUUUAUUCCCAAAUGUUUUUUUUCUUCUAUUAUAUACGCAACGUCUGUCUCACCCCCAUCCACUGUCAUUCCCCACCCAACUCUUGUUAGCCCUCGUUUUGUCAUAUUUUUUGUAUUUUCUUUCAGAAGUGCCUUUUCUGUGUCUGAGUUGAAGAGCCCCUUUUCAUUUCACUUCAAAAUAUCAUCCAACCACGGAGGCGCAUGCUAUCAUGCCUGGCUCGUGGACAGAAUCGGCAAUAACAUUCCCUUGAUUAUUCCAUACAUUCCCAUCACCCACCCUGUCACUCAACCCUUGUCAGCCCCACCACCAAAUAGCUGUUUUUUUAUACGGAGGAGAUGCAUGUUCAUUGGCUGAGACCAUGCUGUAAUGUGGGUUUUACCAGGCCAACCAACCAACCAAUCAUGAAAUUACAGAUUUACUGUCAUGUAUAUGUUAUAACGAACGGUAUUUAAUAAAAAUCCCCAGUUUCUGAAAAUAAUGUAUUUUUUCUUUUUAAUAAAACGAUGGUGAAGCAACA
RNA transcript from Oncorhynchus nerka (sockeye salmon), 1189 nucleotides. It is a transcript of the gene named myosin light polypeptide 6-like, with no coding region annotated. The record is from RefSeq and is a predicted model, not a curated record. The transcript is spliced from 7 exons. NCBI's taxonomy places the organism in Eukaryota, Metazoa, Chordata, Actinopteri, Salmoniformes, Salmonidae.